Molecule: long non-coding RNA, 3046 nt
Filed under: Marmota monax (woodchuck)
Lineage: Eukaryota; Metazoa; Chordata; Mammalia; Rodentia; Sciuridae
Source: RNAcentral
UAAGAGGCAUGCCUUGUUAUUAGUGAGAAGGGAAGCUCCCACUUCAGGCUUUCACUAGACCUUCAAGAAUAGCACCUUGACUGAGAGGGUGAGGUUUGACUUGUUUUGCAGGCCUAGUGAGGGUGGAAGUCUGGGUUCACCUUAAACCUUUUGCUGACAUGAAUACACUAGUAGCAUCAUGUCUGGUCCCCCCGCCCACCCUAUGGAGUUUGGCUGAAGCAGGUUUUUUAUUUCUAAGAGUUUUCUAUCUUGUAAGGCUGCUUUCUCCUGGUCCUUUGGCUAGAAAGAGAAUGGGUUCUUUUAGGCUUCUAAAAUCUAUAAUCUGGGCUGGCAGUAUAGCUCAGCAGUGCCAUGCUUGCCUGGCAUGUUCAAGGCCUUGGGUUCCAUCCGUAGCACCACAAAAAAAAAUAAACAUAAAUUUGCUGCCAUUAAUAUUUUCAGAUUGCUGACUUAUCUAAUGUCUGGCCCAGAACAUAUGAGGCAAAAAGAAAACUUGGGAACCCAGCACAAUGCCAUUAUUUGGUCCCAAGAUUCUUUGUUUGUCUGCAUUUUCUUUCAGCAUUUCAGUUGGUAGGGUUUUUUUUUCUUUUUCUUGUUGUUGUUUGUUUGAUUUGUGUGUGCAGGGUGCUGAUGAUCAAACCCAGCGCCUCGUUUGCUAAACACAUAAAACACAUGCUCUGCAGGGCACGGUGGUAUGUUCCUUUAAUCUCAGCAAUUCUGUAGGCUAAGGCAGGAGGUUUGCAAGUUCAAGACCAGUCUGAGUAACUUAGCUGGACCCUGUGGACCCUGUCUCAAAUGAAAAAUAGAAAGUGUUGAGGAUAUGGCUCAGUGAUUAAGCACCCUUGGGUACAAUCCCUAGUACCAAAACAAACAAAGGAAAAAAAAAAAAAAACGAAACAAAACAACUACACAUUCUCUACCACUGAGCUAUCUGUGUUAUGUUUAUUUGCUGUAAUGUUGAGAGUAUUUAGCUGCUCUGGGUGGGAGGAGUAUAAAAUAGUAUCUGCUGUGUCUUCUGAAUGGGAUGUCUUACUUUCAGUUUUUAAACUUCAGCCCGGAGGAAUGGAGUUGGCUAUCUAUGGACUGAUACCUCUGAAACUGUGAGCCACCCAAAUAAACUUUUCCUCCUUAAAAUUGUUCUUGUCACUUUUUUGGGGUGCAGCAACACCAAAAAAAGCUAACUAAAACAUCCAUUAUCUUUUUACAUGCAUUGUUUCCAACAAAUUUAUCAUCCAUAGCUUUGUUUUUUGUACCAGAGAUUGACUCAGGGGCACUCAACCUCUGAGCCACAUCCCCAGCCCUAUUUUAUAUUUUAUUUAGAGACAGGGUCUCACUGAGUUGCUUAUUAGCACUUCACCGUUGAUGAGACUGGCUUUGAACUCAUGAUCCUUCUGUCUCAGCCUCUUGAGUAGCUGGGAUUACUGGCAUGCACUGAUGCACCCGGCCAUCUAUAUCUAUGUUUUACGUAACUUUUUUUUUUUUGGUUCUGGGGAUUGAACUUGAGGCCUCCCUGCUAAGUAUUUGUUCUGCUGCUGAGCUACAUCUCCAGCUGCAUUUAAGUUUUUAUUUAUUUUUUAGUUGUUGUUGUCAGUACCUUUAUUUUAUUUAUUUAUUUUUAUGUGGUGCUGAGGAUCGAAUCCAGGGCCUGGCACCUGCUAGGCAAGUGCUCUACCACUGAGCCACAACCACAGCCCCUUAAGUUUUUUUUUUAAUCACUUGUUUUGAGCAAUUUAAUUAUGAUAUUUCUUGGUUCGUUACUUAAUUUUUCUUUUGUUUAGGUUUCAUUUGAGCUUUGGUUUUUGUGUUUGUUUUAGUGUGGAAAGUUAUAGGCCCUCAUUUCUUCGAAUAUAUAUUUUUUGCUGCUCCCUCCUAAAUAGCUCCCUCCAGUCAUUUAUAUUUUAGGCUGUUUGAAGUCAUCACAAAGCUCACUAAUGUUCUCAGUAUUCUGGAUUUUUUUUUUUUGGAAAAAUGAACUCGACUGCUUUCAAGUUAGUGAUCUUUUCUUCCGGAAUGUCUAAUCUGCUUUUCAUCACAUCCAAUCUUUUUGUUUGUUUUUGGUACCAGGGAUUGAACCCAGGGGCACUUAACUAUUGAACCAUAUCCCCAGCCCUUUUUUCGAAUUUUAUUUAGAAACAGGGUCUCAUUAAGUUGCUGAUUCUGGCUUUAAACUCUUGCCUCAGCUUCUCGAGCUGCUGGGAUUGUAGGUGUGUGAAAGCUCACCUGGCUCCAUUCAAUGUAUUUUUCUUUAAAACAAAAUGAUUUUUUACUUGUAGUUGGACAUAAUUCCUAUUUAUUUAUUUAUAUGUGAUGUGGAGGAUCGAACCCAGGGCCUGGCACGUGCUAGAUGAGUACCACUGGGCCACAACCCCAGCCCCUCAAUAUAUUUUUCAUCUCAGCCAUUAUCAUUAUUUCCAGAAUUUUGAUUGGGCCUUUUUAAAUUUUUUGUGCCUACAUUUAACUUUUCUGUGUACUUUUUAAGUAUUUUUAUGGUACUGGGGAUUGAAUCCAGGAGUGUUUAACUACUCAACCACAUCUCCAGCCCUUUUUAUGUCUUAUUUUGAGACGGGGGUUAGCUAAAUUGCUGAGGCUAGUCUUGAAUUUGUAAUCCUCCUGCCUCAGUCUACCAAGUUGCUGGGGUUAAAGGCCUGUGCAAAUGUGCUCAGUUUCUUUUGUGUACUCCUAACAUCAUUGUCAGUGCUGGGUGGUUUUGCCAAUUAUCCUUAUUAUAGGUCAUGUUUUCUUGCCUGUUUGCUUACAUGAUGAUCUUUCACUGAAAGUUAUGCAUUGUGAAUUUUACUUCUUGGAUGCUGGAUAUUUUUGUAUUCUUAUAAAUUAUUAUAAAUCUUCCUGAACUUUUUUUUUUGGUGGUGCUGGGGAUUGAACCCAUGGCCUUGUGCAUGCAAGGCAAGCACUGUACCAACUGAGCUACAUCUCCAGCCCUUCUGGAGCUUUUAGUUGUUUGAAAAUACUAUGAUUAUUUAUGUUCUUCAUCUUCUGUUUAGGGGUUGUUUGUUCUGUUUAGGUGGAGAACAUUGCUUCAUUUAAG